GUCCACGCCGUAAACGAUGAGUGCUAGAUGUCGCUGGUAUUGACCCCGGCGGCGUCGAAGCUAACGCGUUAAGCACUCCGCCUGGGGAGUACGGCCGCAAGGCUAAAACUCAAAGGAAUUGACGGGGGCCCGCACAAGCGGUGGAGCAUGUGGUUUAAUUCGACGCAACGCGAAGAACCUUACCUGGGUUGGAACCCCCUGGAAGUCCGCAGAGAUGUGGAUGUGCCCGCAAGGGAACCAGGUGUCCAGGUGCUGCAUGGCUGUCGU
RNAcentral lists this ribosomal RNA (267 nucleotides) under uncultured bacterium. RNAcentral describes it as "partial 16S ribosomal RNA". It matches the Rfam family "Bacterial small subunit ribosomal RNA", at positions 793 to 1055 of the family's 1533-position model. The record is from RNAcentral.